CUUUCUCCGCCGGCGACCGGCGCACGGGUGAGUAACACGUAUGCAACCUGCCCCUGUCAGGGGGACAACCCGCCGAAAGGCGGGCUAAACCCACGUACAUGCCACCGGGGCAUCCCGGAGGCAGGAAAGGCUUCGGCCGGACAGGGAUGGGCAUGCGGCGCAUUAGGCAGUAGGCGGGGUAACGGCCCACCUAACCGACGAUGCGUAGGGGUUCUGAGAGGAAGGUCCCCCACACUGGUACUGAGACACGGACCAGACUCCUACGGGAGGCAGCAG
RNAcentral lists this ribosomal RNA (276 nucleotides) under uncultured bacterium. RNAcentral describes it as "partial 16S ribosomal RNA". It matches the Rfam family "Bacterial small subunit ribosomal RNA", at positions 79 to 354 of the family's 1533-position model. The record is from RNAcentral.